UACGGAAGGCAGCAGUGGGGAAUAUUGCACAAUGGGCGCAAGCCUGAUGCAGCCAUGCCGCGUGUAUGAAGAAGGCCUUCGGGUUGUAAAGUACUUUCAGUCGUGAGGAAGGUGUUAAGGUUAAUAACCUUAGCAAUUGACGUUAGCGACAGAAGAAGCACCGGCUAACUCCGUGCCAGCAGCCGCGGUAAUACGGAGGGUGCGAGCGUUAAUCGGAAUUACUGGGCGUAAAGGGCACGCAGGCGGUUAAUUAAGUUGGAUGUGAAAUCCCCGGGCUUAACCUGGGAAUGGCAUUCAAGACUGGUUAGCUAGAGUCUUGUAGAGGGGGUAGAAUUCCAUGUGUAGCGGUGAAAUGCGUAGAGAUGUGGAGGAAUACCGGGUGGCGAAGGCGGCCCCUGGGAUAAAGGACUGACGCUCAUGUGCGAAAGCGUGGGGAGCAAACAGGAUUAGAUACC
This 455-nucleotide ribosomal RNA is filed under the name uncultured bacterium. Its description in RNAcentral is "bacterial SSU rRNA". It matches the Rfam family "Bacterial small subunit ribosomal RNA", at positions 340 to 786 of the family's 1533-position model. The record is from RNAcentral.